GUCGAGCGAACAGAAAAGGAGCUUGCUCCUUUGACGUUAGCGGCGGACGGGUGAGUAACACGUGGGCAACCUACCCUAUAGUUUGGGAUAACUCCGGGAAACCGGGGCUAAUACCGAAUAAUCUCUUUUACUUCAUGGUGAAAGACUGAAAGACGGUUUCGGCUGUCGCUAUAGGAUGGGCCCGCGGCGCAUUAGCUAGUUGGUGAGGUAACGGCUCACCAAGGCGACGAUGCCUAGCCGACCUGAGAGGGUGAUCGGCCACACUGGGACUGAAACACGGCCCAGACUCCUACGGGAGGCAGCAG
Molecule: ribosomal RNA, 305 nt
Rfam family: Bacterial small subunit ribosomal RNA